This 472-nucleotide ribosomal RNA is filed under the name uncultured bacterium. RNAcentral describes it as "partial 16S ribosomal RNA". It matches the Rfam family "Bacterial small subunit ribosomal RNA", at positions 28 to 507 of the family's 1533-position model. The record is from RNAcentral.
GACGAACGCUGGCGGCGUGCUUAACACAUGCAAGUCGAACGCUGAAGCUUGGUGCUUGCACUGGGUGGCUGAGUGGCGAACGGGUGAGUAAUACGUGAGUAACCUGCCCUUGACUCUGGGAUAAGCCUGGGAAACUGGGUCUAAUACUGGAUACGACAUGUCACCGCAUGGUGGUGUGUGGAAAGGGUUUUACUGGUUUUGGAUGGGCUCACGGCCUAUCAGCUUGUUGGUGGGGUAAUGGCUCACCAAGGCGACGACGGGUAGCCGGCCCGAGAGGGUGACCGGCCACACUGGGACUGAGACACGGCCCAGACUCCUACGGGAGGCAGCAGUGGGCAAUAUUGCACAAUGGGCGGAAGCCUGAUGCAGCGACGCCGCGUGAGGGAUGACGGCCUUCGGGUUGUAAACCUCUUUCAGCACGGAAGAAGCGAAAGUGACGGUACGUGCAGAAGAAGCGCCGGCUAACUACGUG